AACGGUCUAUACCUGCGGUACCUGCGGAGGGAUCAUUACAGAGUUCAUGCCCUCACGGGUAGAUCUCCCACCCUUGAAUACUAUACCUUUGUUGCUUUGGCGGGCCGCUUUGGCUACUGGCUCUGGCUAGUAAGUGCCCGCCAAAGAACCCCAAAACUCUGAAUAUUAGUGUCGUCUGAGUACUAUAUAAUAGUUAAAACUUUCAACAACGGAUCUCU
RNAcentral lists this unclassified non-coding RNA (218 nucleotides) under soil metagenome. RNAcentral describes it as "partial contains 5.8S ribosomal RNA, internal transcribed spacer 2, and large subunit ribosomal RNA". The record is from RNAcentral.